RNAcentral lists this ribosomal RNA (795 nucleotides) under uncultured bacterium. RNAcentral's name for it is "bacterial SSU rRNA". It matches the Rfam family "Bacterial small subunit ribosomal RNA", at positions 8 to 796 of the family's 1533-position model. The record is from RNAcentral.
AGAGUUUGAUCCUGGCUCAGAUUGAACGCUGGCGGCGUGCCUAACACAUGCAAGUCGAGCGGUAACAGGUGUAGCAAUACAUGCUGACGAGCGGCGGACGGGUGAGCAAUGCUUGGGAAUCUGCCUAUUAGUGGGGGACAACCCGGGGAAACUCGGGCUAAUACCGCAUACGCACUACGGUGGAAAGCCGGGGACCGCAAGGCCUGGCGCUAAUAGAUGAGCCCAAGUCGGAUUAGCUAGUUGGUGAGGUAAUGGCUCACCAAGGCGACGAUCCGUAGCUGGUCUGAGAGGACGACCAGCCACACCGGAACUGAGACACGGUCCGGACUCCUACGGGAGGCAGCAGUGGGGAAUAUUGGACAAUGGGGGAAACCCUGAUCCAGCGACGCCGCGUGGGUGAAGAAGGCCUGCGGGUUGUAAAGCCCUUUCAGUGGGGAAGAAAAGCCUCGUUCUAAUACAGCGGGGUCUUGACGUAACUCACAAAAGAAGCACCGGCUAACUCUGUGCCAGCAGCCGCGGUAAUACAGAGGGUGCGAGCGUUAAUCGGAAUUACUGGGCGUAAAGCGCGCGUAGGCGGCUUUGCAAGUCAGGUGUGAAAUCCCCGGGCUUAACCUGGGAACUGCAUUUGAGACUGCAUUGCUAGAGUAUGGGAGAGGGAAGUGGAAUUUCAGGUGUAGCGGUGAAAUGCGUAGAUAUCUGAAGGAACAUCAGUGGCGAAAGCGACUUCCUGGACCAAUACUGACGCUCAUGUGCGAAAGCGUGGGGAGCAAACAGGAUUAGAUACCCUGGUAGUCC